This 1026-nucleotide ribosomal RNA is filed under the name Apis mellifera (honey bee). Its description in RNAcentral is "SSU rRNA". It matches the Rfam family "Eukaryotic small subunit ribosomal RNA", at positions 44 to 998 of the family's 1831-position model. Lineage: Eukaryota; Metazoa; Arthropoda; Insecta; Hymenoptera; Apidae. The record is from RNAcentral.
AUUAGCCAUGCAUGUCUCAGUACAUGCCGAAUUAAGGUGAAACCGCGAAUGGCUCAUUAAAUCAGUUAUGGUUCAUUAGAUCGUGGACACAUUUACUUGGAUAACUGUGGUAAUUCUAGAGCUAAUACAUGCAAACAGAAUUCCUCUCAGAGAUGGGAGGAAUGCUUUUAUUAGAUCAAAACCAAUCGGUGGCGGACGGCUCGUCCGUUCGUCCAUCGUUUGUUUUGGUGACUCUGAAUAACUUUGUGCUGAUCGCAUGGUCAUCUAGCACCGGCGACGCAUCUUUCAAAUGUCUGCCUUAUCAACUGUCGAUGGUAGGUUCUGCGCCUACCAUGGUUGUAACGGGUAACGGGGAAUCAGGGUUCGAUUCCGGAGAGGGAGCCUGAGAAACAGCUACCACAUCCAAGGAAGGCAGCAGGCGCGCAAAUUACCCACUCCCGGCACGGGGAGGUAGUGACGAAAAAUAACGAUACGGGACUCAUCCGAGGCCCCGUAAUCGGAAUGAGUACACUUUAAAUCCUUUAACGAGGACCAAUUGGAGGGCAAGUCUGGUGCCAGCAGCCGCGGUAAUUCCAGCUCCAAUAGCGUAUAUUAAAGUUGUUGCGGUUAAAAAGCUCGUAGUUGAAUCUGUGUGUCACAGUGUCGGUUCACCGCUCGCGGUGUUUAACUGGCAUUAUGUGGUACGUCCUAUCGGUGGGCUUAGCUCCUUGCGGGCGGUCCAACUAAUAUCCCAUCGCGGUGCUCUUCACUGAGUGUCGAGGUGGGCCGAUACGUUUACUUUGAAAAAAUUAGAGUGCUUAAAGCAGGCUACCUUUGCCUGAAUACUGUGUGCAUGGAAUAAUGGAAUAGGACCUCGGUUCUAUUUUGUUGGUUUUCGGAACCCCGAGGUAAUGAUUAAUAGGGACAGAUGGGGGGCAUUCGUAUUGCGACGUUAGAGGUGAAAUUCUUGGAUCGUCGCAAGACGGACAGAAGCGAAAGCAUUUGCCCAAAAAUGUUUUCAUUAAUCAAGAACGAAAGUUAGAGGUU